This 675-nucleotide ribosomal RNA is filed under the name uncultured bacterium. Its description in RNAcentral is "bacterial SSU rRNA". It matches the Rfam family "Bacterial small subunit ribosomal RNA", at positions 8 to 692 of the family's 1533-position model. The record is from RNAcentral.
AGAGUUUGAUCCUGGCUCAGGACGAACGCUGGCGGCGUGCUUAACACAUGCAAGUCGAACGAGGUCCACUGAGUAGCAAUACAAGGGAAGACCUAGUGGCGAACGGGUGAGUAUCACGUGAGAAACCAACCCCGGUCUCUGGGAUAACAGUUGGAAACGACUGCUAAUACUGGAUGUCGUCGUACCCUCGCAUGGGGGGAUGACGAAAGGGUUACCGGAUCGGGACGGUCUCGCGGCCUAUCAGCUUGUUGGGGAGGUAACGGCUCACCAAGGCUUCGACGGGUAGCUGGUCUGAGAGGAUGAUCAGCCACACUGGGACUGAGACACGGCCCAGACUCCUACGGGAGGCAGCAGUGGGGAAUCUUGCGCAAUGGGCGAAAGCCUGACGCAGCAACGCCGCGUGCGGGAUGAAGGCCUUCGGGUUGUAAACCGCUUUUAACAGGAACGAAAAUGACGGUACCUGUAGAAUAAGGUGCGGCCAACUACGUGCCAGCAGCCGCGGUGACACGUAGGCACCAAGCGUUGUCCGGAUUUAUUGGGCGUAAAGAGCUCGUAGGCGGUUCAGUAAGUCGGGUGUGAAAACUCUGGGCUUAACCCAGAGACGCCACUCGAUACUACUGUGACUAGAGUUCGGUAGGGGAGCGGGGAAUUCCUAGUGUAGCGGUGAAAUGCGCA